UAAGGAAUAUUGCGCAAUGGGCGACAGCCUGACGCAGCGACGCCGCGUGGGGGAUGAAGGUCUUCGGAUUGUAAACCCCUUUCGGCAGGGAAGAUGGAACGGGCAAUCGUUCGGACGGUACCUGCAGAAGCAGCCACGGCUAACUUCGUGCCAGCAGCCGCGGUAAUACGAAGGUGGCAAGCGUUGUUCGGAUUCACUGGGCGUACAGGGAGCGUAGGCGGUCGGGUAAGCCCUCCGUGAAAUCUCCGGGCCUAACCCGGAAAGUGCGGAGGGGACUGCUCGGCUAGAGGAUGGGAGAGGAGCGCGGAAUUCCCGGUGUAGCGGUGAAAUGCGUAGAGAUCGGGAGGAAGGCCGGUGGCGAAGGCGGCGCUCUGGAACAUUUCUGACGCUGAGGCUCGAAAGCGUGGGGAGCAAACA
Molecule: ribosomal RNA, 417 nt
Filed under: uncultured Nitrospira sp.
Lineage: Bacteria; Pseudomonadati; Nitrospirota; Nitrospiria; Nitrospirales; Nitrospiraceae
Description: bacterial SSU rRNA
Rfam family: Bacterial small subunit ribosomal RNA
Source: RNAcentral